This 492-nucleotide ribosomal RNA is filed under the name uncultured bacterium. RNAcentral describes it as "partial 16S ribosomal RNA". It matches the Rfam family "Bacterial small subunit ribosomal RNA", at positions 29 to 507 of the family's 1533-position model. The record is from RNAcentral.
AGUGAACGCUGGCGGUAGGCCUAACACAUGCAAGUCGAACGGCAGCACAGUAAGAGCUUGCUCUUACGGGUGGCGAGUGGCGGACGGGUGAGGAAUACAUCGGAAUCUACUUUUUCGUGGGGGGUAACGUAGGGAAACUUACGCUAAUACCGCAUACGACCUACGGGCGAAAGCAGGGGAUCUUCGGACCUUGCGCGAUCGAAUGAGCCGAUGUCGGAUUAGCUAGUUGGCGGGGUAAAGGCCCACCAAGGCGACGAUCCGUAGCUGGUCUGAGAGGAUGAUCAGCCACACUGGAACUGAGACACGGUCCAGACUCCUACGGGAGGCAGCAGUGGGGAAUAUUGGACAAAGGGCGCAAGCCUGAUCCAGCCAUACCGCGUGGGUGAAGAAGGCCUUCGGGUUGUAAAGCCCUUUUGUUGGGGAAGAAAAGCAGCAGGUUAAUACCCCGCUGUUCUGACGGUACCCAAAGAAUAAGCACCGGCUAACUUCGUG